AAUUGGCGCCGUUGUUUGCCGGUGUUGGCCCGUGCCGCAUGCGAAGCUAUUAGUGAACUCACUGUUAACUAGUGCGCUUACGAGCAUUUUAAACCGAUUUUAAAAUAAGGAGGUAAACGCUCUAUCAAUGAAGAUGAAGCAUUGUCAAUAGUCAAGACACAGGAGACAGAAACAAUGACGUUGGCGUUACUUUUUGAGCUAUUAUUAUUUAGCUAUUUAGCUUUCCUAUCGGCAUUACGCGAGAGACGCCUAUCAAGCAACGGAUUGUCAAUUGACAUCAAUUCUAUACGAUAAGAUUAGUUUCU
RNAcentral lists this unclassified non-coding RNA (305 nucleotides) under Melitaea cinxia (Glanville fritillary). RNAcentral's name for it is "misc RNA ENSMCXG00005007385.1". Lineage: Eukaryota; Metazoa; Arthropoda; Insecta; Lepidoptera; Nymphalidae. The record is from RNAcentral.